This 261-nucleotide ribosomal RNA is filed under the name uncultured archaeon. RNAcentral's name for it is "partial 16S ribosomal RNA". It matches the Rfam family "Archaeal small subunit ribosomal RNA", at positions 748 to 1009 of the family's 1478-position model. The record is from RNAcentral.
UAGCCGUAAACGAUACUCGCUAGGUGUCGGCCACGGUGCGACCGUUGUCGGUGCCGUAGGGAAGCCGUGAAGCGAGCCACCUGGGAAGUACGGCCGCAAGGCUGAAACUUAAAGGAAUUGACGGGGGAGCACAACAACGGGUGGAGCUUGCGGUUUAAUUGGAUUCAACGCCGGAAAUCUUACCGGGACCGACAGCAACAUGAAGGCCAAGCUGAAGACUUUGCCGGAUUAGCUGAGAGGAGGUGCAUGGCGUAGUCGUGU